CCAGGAUUCCCCUAGUAAUGGCGAAUGAAGCGGGAAGAGCUCAAAUUUGAAAUCUGCGUCGUCUUCGACGCCGAAUUGUAGUUUCGAGAAGCACUUUCUCGGCGGGUCCGGUUUCGUCCAAGUCGCUUGGAACAGCGCGUCAUAGAGGGUGAGAACCCCGUCUGUGGCGGAGCCGGCCGUUCACGAUGUGCUUUCGACGAGUCGGGUUGUUUGGGAAUGCAGCCCAAAAUGGGUGGUAAACUCCAUCUAAAGCUAAAUACUGGCACGAGACCGAUAGCGAACAAGUACCGUGAGGGAAAGAUGAAAAGCACUUUGAAAAGAGAGUUAAACAGUACGUGAAACCGUUAAAAGGGAAACGGAUGGGGUCAGCAAUGCGUUCUGCGAGAUUCAGCCGGGCGGCGCGUCGGGCGGGCGGUUUGCGGAUCUGAAUGGACCGCGGCCGUUCGGUUCGGUGCUCCGAUCGUCGCACUUCUCGCGAGCGCGCGCCAGCGUCGGUUGGAACUGGGUCUGAAAGGCGAGGGCAAGGUAGGCCGACUCCUUCGGGAGAUGGCUGUUAUAGGCCUCCGUCGCAUGGCCCGGAUCCGACCGAGGAGUCGCGGCAUGUGCCUCCCCUCGUGGGUUGGCUGGGGUCCCUUCUCGUCGGUCGGCGGUCGAAUGCGGUGGACUGCGUGCAGUGCGCCGCGACCGCCGUCGGUCGCUGGGGAGGUGACUUCGCACUACGUGCCAAGGACGCUGGCGGUCAAAUGGCCUCAUUCGACCCGUCUUGAAACACGGACCAAGGAGUCUAACAUGUGCGCGAGUCUUCGAGUGAAGGAAGCUCGCCGGCGCAAUGAAAGUGAAGGUGGCCUCGUGUCGCCGAGGCGAGAGCCUCCUCUCGGGGAGGUGCAUCGUCGACCGACCUAUUCCGCUCUCGGGAAGGUUUGAGUGGGAGCGCACCUGUUGGGACCC
Molecule: ribosomal RNA, 948 nt
Filed under: Calliactis tricolor
Lineage: Eukaryota; Metazoa; Cnidaria; Anthozoa; Actiniaria; Hormathiidae
Description: eukaryotic LSU rRNA
Rfam family: Eukaryotic large subunit ribosomal RNA
Source: RNAcentral